GUUAAUGUAGCUUAUCAAUAAAGCAAGGCACUGAAAAUGCCUAGAUGGGUUAAAUACCCCGUAAACA
RNAcentral lists this transfer RNA (67 nucleotides) under Thrichomys apereoides (common punare). RNAcentral's name for it is "tRNA-Phe". It matches the Rfam family "tRNA". From Rfam's summary of the family: Transfer RNA (tRNA) molecules are approximately 80 nucleotides in length. Lineage: Eukaryota; Metazoa; Chordata; Mammalia; Rodentia; Echimyidae. The record is from RNAcentral.